GAUGAACGCUAGCGGCAGGCCUAACACAUGCAAGUCGAGGGAGAAGCCCUUUCGGGGGCAGAAACCGGCGCACGGGUGCGUAACGCGUAUGCAACCUACCUUUCACAGGGGGAUAGCCCGAAGAAAUUUGGAUUAAUACCCCAUAAUAUUAUUGGAUGGCAUCAUUUGAUAAUUAAAACUGCGGUGGUGAAAGAUGGGCAUGCGUCCUAUUAGCUAGUUGGAGUGGUAACGGCACCCCAAGGCUACGAUAGGUAGGGGUCCUGAGAGGGAGAUCCCCCACACUGGGACUGAGACAGGGACCAGACUCCUACGGGAGGCAGCAGUGAGGAAGAUUGGGCAAUGGUCGGAAGACUGAACCAGCCAUGCCGCGUGCAGGAAGAAUGCCUUAUGGGUUGUAAACUGCUUUUAUAUGGGAAGAAUAAGGCGUACGUGUACGUUGAUGACGGUACCAUAUGAAUAAGCAUCGGCUAACUCCGUG
Molecule: ribosomal RNA, 478 nt
Filed under: uncultured bacterium
Lineage: Bacteria
Description: partial 16S ribosomal RNA
Rfam family: Bacterial small subunit ribosomal RNA
Source: RNAcentral